This 1046-nucleotide ribosomal RNA is filed under the name uncultured bacterium. RNAcentral's name for it is "bacterial SSU rRNA". It matches the Rfam family "Bacterial small subunit ribosomal RNA", at positions 27 to 1030 of the family's 1533-position model. The record is from RNAcentral.
GAACGAACGCUGGCGGCGUGGAUUAGGCAUGCAAGUCGCACGAGGGAGCGUCCCGAAAGGGGCGCAAACCGAGUGGCGUAAGGGUGAGUAAUGCAUUGAUAACCUACCUUUGAGAUGGGAACAACAACGUUCCAAGUAAUUGGGGCUACCGAAAGGGUUGCUAAUUCUCAAUAAAAAUGCUGACACUUUGGUGUCGGCAGUCAAAGAAAUGGAUCUGAAAAGGUCCAUUUGCUCAGAGAGGGGUCAAUGUCCUAUCAGCUAGUUGGUAGGGUAAUGGCCUACCAAGGCGAAGACGGGUAGCCGGCCUGAGAGGGUGGUCGGCCACACUGGGACUGAGACACUGCCCAGACUCCUACGGGAGGCCGCAGUCGAGAAUCUUUCGCAAUGCCCGAAAGGGUGACGAAGCGACGCCGCGUGUGGGAUGAAGGCCUUCGGGUUGUAAACCACUGUCGGGAGUUAAGAAUUGUAGGAAUGCUAAUAGUAUUUCUACUUGACUAAGGCUCCGGAGGAAGCCACGGCUAACUCUGUGCCAGCAGCCGCGGUAAUACAGAGGCGGCAAGCGUUGUUCGGAAUUAUUGGGCGUAAAGAGCAUGUAGGCGGCUAUGUAAGUCGGUUGUGAAAGCCUUCCGCUUAACGGAAGAAUGGCGGUCGAAACUGCAUGCUUUGAGUGCGGGAGGGGAGAGUGGAACUUCUGGUGGAGCGGUGAAAUGCGUAGAUAUCAGAAGGAACGUCGGCGGCGAAAGCGACUCUCUAGACCGUAACUGACGCUGAGUGUGCGAAAGCUAGGGGAGCAAACGGGAUUAGAUACCCCGGUAGUCCUAGCCGUAAACGAUGGGCACUAAGUAGAGGGGUUUUGAUUAUCUCUCUGCCGGAGCUAACGCAUUAAGUGCCCCGCCUGGGGAGUACGGCCGCAAGGCUAAAACUCAAAGAUUGACGGGGGCUCGCACAAGCGGUGGAGCAUGUGCUUAAUUCGAUGCACGCGAGACUUACCGGGCUGACAUGAUAGAGUAGACCCGGAAGGGCGACGACGGUAUCAGCCCGAACUA